AGUUAAACAGUACGUGAAAUUGUUGAAAGGGAAACGAUUGAAGCCAGUCGUACCUUCGGGUAAUCAGCCUUUCGGGUGCGAUUAUGUGGAGUGUGAGGAGCUUAAACACCUUCAUGUUUUGCAUAUUCGUACUCUUGGGUGUACUUGCCCGUGUGGUUGGUUAACAUCAAUUUUGGUGGUCAUAAAAUGACUGGAGGAAUGUAGCUUCGAUCUCGUAUUGAAGUGUUAUAGCCUUCGGUAGAUGUGAUGAUCGAGAUUGAGGAUUGCAACGGAUACCCUUCGGGGCUACCUGUCUGAUCUCUGAUCGUUGCUCUGGUGCCGAAAGCUUGCUUACGGUUAUCAAAGUCGAUGGUCAAUAGGUUAGAACGGGUUAAAUUCGUUAAGGAUGUUGACGUAAUGGCUUUAAA
Molecule: unclassified non-coding RNA, 407 nt
Filed under: uncultured Rhizophagus
Lineage: Eukaryota; Fungi; Glomeromycota; Glomeromycetes; Glomerales; Glomeraceae
Description: sequence contains 28S rRNA gene
Source: RNAcentral